RNA transcript from Schistocerca piceifrons (Central American locust), 1113 nucleotides. It is a transcript of the gene named origin recognition complex subunit 6, with no coding region annotated. The transcript has 7 exons. The record is from RefSeq and is a predicted model, not a curated record. NCBI's taxonomy places the organism in Eukaryota, Metazoa, Arthropoda, Insecta, Orthoptera, Acrididae.
ACUUUGGAAUGCGCGGGAAAUAGAGUUUGUUUUCUUUCUUGGAUAAUGACAAACUACUAAUGGCUUUCCAAAACGCGUUUUUGAAGUCGUUACUUCCGAAACUCGGAAUAGAAGACGAUAAAGUUCUUAAGAAGGCUUCAGAGCUGCAGCGUAUAUUAGACUUGAAAAUAUCAUCUGGAGGUGCCAAAAAUUUAAAACUAAGUGAAAGUGCAAAGGCAGUGAUGUGUGCUGAUCUAGCAGCUGUACAUUUUGGCAUAACUUGUGAAAGGGAUGACUUUGUAAGAAUUUCUGGAAUGAAGAAUAGAUUAUACAUAACAAAUCGCAGCAUAAUAGAAAAGCUUGUAGGAAUGGAGGAGACACUAGAUGUGAAUAAAAUUUGUGUACAACUUGGCAUUUCUGAAAUAAGCAACUUUGCUCAGACAAUUUUGGAUCAAUAUUUGGAACAAAAUGCUGUUGCAGACAGAAAUGACAAGAUGUAUGGUAUAAUUGCAGUAUAUGUGGCUUGCAGGGAAAGAAAAGUAAAGCUUCAGAUGCGUAAAUUCAUGGAAAUGUGUAAUCUAAAAAAAAGUGGGUUUGUUAAGUUAGUUGCUGAUUUUGACAAAUCUGUUGCAUCUAUGAGAAGACAAAAAGAAGAACCUGCAGAACAUGCACCAUUAUCAAAAGAAGUCAAUCUGAAUGAUUUGCAGAAAGCAGUGAAAAGAAGAAGUCAGUCACCUCCAAAAGAGGAGGAAAGCUAUUCUGACUGGAAGAGAAGAAUGCUGCAGGAAAUAAAUGAAUCAUCAGAAGACUGCUGAUGUGUUCAUAGGAAGAACAAGGAAGAUUAACAUAUUGUCAGUUGCUUGCUUGUGUUCAGAAAGAUCUCAUCCCACUCUUACUUGAAAAGUUUAGGGACCUCCAACACUUGACACAGUUUUGCAGCCCAGCAGCAAGGGCUUGCUACAUGAAAACAGCCAUUUUAUGAGACGAAAAAAAUGAAAGAGCAAGUGUCAGAAAAAAGCAAAGUAUUCGGUGCAGCAGUGACAACUAAAGACUUCGCCUUAAAUGUAUUAUUUCAGUGUCACAUAUCUGACUGUUGUUUCUGAUAAUAGUGUGUAGUAAAAUUUCAAAAUUGGA